UAAACUAGGAUUAGAUACCCUAUUAUGCUUAGCCCUAAACAUUGACAACUUUAUACACCCGUUGUCCGCCCGGGUACUACGAGCGCCAGCUUAAAACCCAAAGGACUUGGCGGUGCUUUAGAUCCACCUAGAGGAGCCUGUUCUAGAACCGAUAAUCCCCGUUCAACCUCACCCCUUCUUGCUUUAUCCGCCUAUAUACCGCCGUCGCAAGCUUACCCUUUGAAGGUUUAAUAGUAAGCAAAAUCGGCACUGCCCAGUACGUCAGGUCGAGGUGUAGCGAAUGGAGGGGGAAGAAAUGGGCUACAUUCCCUGAAUCCAGGGAAUUACGGAUGACAUGCUGAAACGCAUGUUUAAAGGAGGAUUUAGUAGUAAGCAUGAAAAUAGAGUGUUCCGCUGAAAUCGGCCCUGAAGCGCGCACACAUCGCCCGUCGCUCUUA
RNAcentral lists this ribosomal RNA (437 nucleotides) under Sillago vincenti (Vincent's sillago). RNAcentral's name for it is "partial 12S ribosomal RNA". It matches the Rfam family "Bacterial small subunit ribosomal RNA", at positions 768 to 1405 of the family's 1533-position model. The record is from RNAcentral. Lineage: Eukaryota; Metazoa; Chordata; Actinopteri; Sillaginidae.